This 3411-nucleotide long non-coding RNA is filed under the name Sus scrofa (pig). RNAcentral describes it as "lncRNA (ENSSSCG00000047883.2)". Lineage: Eukaryota; Metazoa; Chordata; Mammalia; Artiodactyla; Suidae. The record is from RNAcentral.
ACACAGAUUACUAGCGCCUCUGGAAGUAGGGCAAGCUCGUUUAUUUCCUCUCCAACAUAGCCUCGGGCCAUCAGAGCGUCUCAUGUCAGGGUCCCUGCCGAGCAAGCUGCAGAAUGAAAACACUGCGAAUAAGAAAGGUCACUGCAUCCGCUCUGCACAUUUACUUCUCACCUGAAAUCUCUGCUUCACUAGCAACGACCUGGCUCAGGCUGUGAACACUGCCUGAGUCGAUGUUCCAGCAGGAGGGAGAAGAAAUCUAUGACUACUGCGCAUAUGCGUGUGUACUUACAGAUUAUUGCCUCAGGUCCGUGGUCCAGCGUUGUGACAAGCUGUCCAUCUGAGGUUCAUGCUUCCUUCAAUUCAAUGCUGCAAGGUACAAGCUGACUGAAAGAAGACCAGCAAUUGGUUGAUUAAUACCAUUGAAGAGGCGUGUCUUCUCCUCCCACAAUAUUAAGGAGCUAUUGUGCAGGUUAUCCUAAUGUUUGACUAGCCCUUCCUGUGUAUCUAAGGCUGAAUCCAACAGCCACUUUUGCCUCACCAGCUAUUCACUGUUUAUAACCCCAGCACUUGAAGUACCAGAGGGUUCAGAGGGAGUCAGUUAUGAAUCAAGGAGAAAAGCAUGGUUGGAAUGAAAAGCUCAGCGGCUGAUGGUCUCCGUUCCUUCGAAAGCCAAGUUGAGGAUGCUGAAAUCCCCUUAUUGUCUUUGGUACCUCAGUGUUCCUAUUUGUGAAAGGCUGAUAAAGAUGCCAGGGAUUCUGGAAAAAGAAAUGGAAUGCAUAUCGACUGGCCACCCAGUAAAACAGAUUUCAGAUGCAAAUAGAAACAAAAAGCUGGGGGAAGUAUGAAGAGUUUUAAGGAUAAAAGAAGAAAAAAAACCUGAAAAGAUAAUCCUUUUAAGAAGCUGAUUUUUUCUUAGUCAUUCCCAAAGUAAGAGGGCCAGGGUAAUACUGCCAAUGCUUAACUCCAAAAUAGAUAAAAGGUUAAAAAAAAAAAAAAGGCUGCUCUAUUGAGGAAAAAAGUCCUGAAAUAACCUAUUACUGGUGUUCAGAAGUCAACUUGUCCAUGAAGACAAGGUCAUCAUUCAUCUUUAUAAAAAGAGACACUGAACAAAGACAAAUAAGUUAAAGCAUUUACUUUUACAUAACACCAGGACAGGUAAAAAAAAAAAAAAAUAGCUAUAAUUCACAGGCCUUGAGCAUGACAGAGAAAUUUAAAGCUUUAGGAGACGUCCUAUGAAAUGCUACACUUCUGGUUUCAACAAAUGCUUGGAGACAUCAUGAAAGUCCUUUUCAUAUGGACAGAAAAUUUUGUUCACCAUUUCUUUUAAAUUCUUUAAAAACCUUUCUUUCUUUCUUUCUUUCUUUUUUUCAAAAUCCCCUUCAGAUUACUCUGUGUCUUGACCUAAAAUCAGAGUCAAAUGAUUCACAGCUUUAGGAGCUUACAUCUAAUUUUACUACCUUUGGCCUUAGUAUUUAUCAACUUCAACACAGAACAAUGCAUUACUCUAACAAUAGUAGACCUUACUGAUUCUGUGAGCUCUCCAUUUGGCUUUUGAAUAUAAUAGCCUUUGUAUGGUUCUUUUAAAUUGACCUAUACAUAUACAGAGGCACAAAUUCCUCCAAAAUGAAUAAUAGAAAGAAAAAUUAAUGCAUUCAUGCAAUGAAAACUUGACAUAAAUAUAUCCCUAAUUAUGGUGGUAAAUGCAUAGGAGACUAGGGCCAUAGAUUAACCUGUAGUAAGAGUAAGAUUUCUGCAGAAUCUCCUGUUUAUCAAAAAAAUUAUGGAAAUUUGAAUUGUACAUCAUGCUAUAUACAAGUUUCUUUUCAUAUUAUAAUGAUAUUUUCCUCCCAAAUUUCCUAGUUGGAUGGCAUCCAUCACCAUAGCAAAACAGAAAGAAAGCCCACAAGACUUUUGAUUAAAUCUUCUGGCUAUUUUCAGGCCAAGUGUUUUGUUUUCUCUUUUGAAUUAUUCAAAUCUCCCUGCCCAGUCAUGCCCUACACUUUGCAAAAGUGUAAUACUAAGAAAUCUUAUAAUUUUUUAUUACUUGCAGAUUUUUCUGGGGCAGGAAUAUCAUUUAAAAUGUUCCCUAAGGAGAAACCAAGUGAGAGGGGAAUUUUCCUCCGAAUUUUCAAUUGUAGUUUAUAGUGAAUGGGAAAAUCACUUCUCACUUAGAUCUACAUGGCUAUUUGUGAGCAGAAAAUAGUUUUAAUUAUUCUGCCUAUGCAACCAAGAUUUUCUGGGACAAUCCCAAUUUCUUUCUUUUCAAUAAAUGUGAAUUUCCAUUACACUUGCAGGAAAUUGUCCAACACACACACUCACAUAGGUGAUUAAAGCCCAUUGUAGAAAGCUGUUCUCUGCACCCAUGUGGAUAUUGGUAAACAACUGGAAACAAGUUAAAUGCUCUUCAGCAGGGGGAAUAGUUUAAGAAAUUUCUGUACAUGCAGUACUAUAACACCAAGCAGAAUCAGGUAGAUCUCCAUGUACUAGUCUGGGAAAAUAGUCAAGAUACAUUGUUUGUUGAAAAAUAUCAAGUUAUAGAACAGAUGUUUAGUAUACUCCCAUUUGUCUCACACUUUGAAAAAUUCUACCAUAUAUAUUUGUAAAGGGUUAGAAAAUCUCUGGCAGGACAGAUCAGAAACAAACCCCAAAUCACCUCUGUUGUUGGGAGGCAGGUUAGGGAUAAAUGGAGGUUUACUUGUAAGUCGUAUUUCCACAUCAUCUCUGUGAACUAAACCCUCCCUGAUUCCUCCCAAUUCUCACUGCUUCCCACUAUGUUGGAGAUCCUGUCAUGUCAUAACUUACACAGCAGUGGCCACAAGAUGUGGGUUUGCAUGAGACUGGCAUGAGAUGGUUGGAAAAAUAAAGACGGUGGGAGUUUCCACCAUGGUACAGUGGGCUAAGGAUCACUGUGGCUGUGUGGGUUCUAUCCCCCCACCUGGUGCAGUAGGUUAAAUGAUCUGGCAUUGCUGCAACUGCAGCGUAAGUCAUAGCUGGGGCAUGGCCUGGGAACUUCCAUAUGCUGUGGGUGUAGCAAAAAAAAAAGAAAGAAAAGAAGGUGGAGGCACAGAACUUAAUUAGCUACGAGGUUGACUGUUGAGGGCUACAGCUAUGGGUCAGGGGUGGUGUCUAAGAGAGAUGAGCUAUUCUCAACAAUGUCAAGAAAAGUCCUAAUCAGGAGUUCCUGUCAUGACUCAGCCAUUAACGAAUCUGACUAGCAUCCAUGAGGAUGCAGGUUCAAUCCCUGGCCUUGCUCAGUGGGUUAAGGAUCCGGUGUUGCUGUGAGCUGUGGCGUAGGUCGCAGACGCUGCUCAGAUCCUGUGUUGCUGUGGUUGUGGUGUAGGCCGGCAGCUUUAGCUCCAAUUUGACCCCUAGCCUGGGGAACCUCCAUGUGCCAUGGAUGCGGCCCUAAAG